This 1062-nucleotide ribosomal RNA is filed under the name Flavobacteriaceae bacterium 18-8PB. RNAcentral's name for it is "bacterial SSU rRNA". It matches the Rfam family "Bacterial small subunit ribosomal RNA", at positions 95 to 1165 of the family's 1533-position model. The record is from RNAcentral. Lineage: Bacteria; Pseudomonadati; Bacteroidota; Flavobacteriia; Flavobacteriales; Flavobacteriaceae.
GCGGCGUACGGGUGCGUAACACGUGUGCAACCUACCUUUAUCAGGGGAAUAGCCUUUCGAAAGGAAGAUUAAUACUCCAUAAUAUAUUGAAUGGCAUCAUUUAAUAUUGAAAACUCCGGUGGAUAGAGAUGGGCACGCGCAAGAUUAGAUAGUUGGUGAGGUAACGGCUCACCAAGUCAAUGAUCUUUAGGGGUCCUGAGAGGGAGAUCCCCCACACUGGUACUGAGACACGGACCAGACUCCUACGGGAGGCAGCAGUGAGGAAUAUUGGACAAUGGGUGAGAGCCUGAUCCAGCCAUCCCGCGUGAAGGAUUAAGGUCCUAUGGAUUGUAAACUUCUUUUGUACAGGGAUAAACCUAGAUACGUGUAUCUAGCUGAAGGUACUGUACGAAUAAGCACCGGCUAACUCCGUGCCAGCAGCCGCGGUAAUACGGAGGGUGCAAGCGUUAUCCGGAUUUAUUGGGUUUAAAGGGUCCGCAGGCGGACCGAUAAGUCAGUGGUGAAAUCUCAUAGCUUAACUAUGAAACUGCCAUUGAUACUGUCGGUCUUGAGUAAAUUAGAGGUAGCUGGAAUAAGUAGUGUAGCGGUGAAAUGCAUAGAUAUUACUUAGAACACCAAUUGCGAAGGCAGGUUACCAUGAUUUAACUGACGCUGAGGGACGAAAGCGUGGGUAGCGAACAGGAUUAGAUACCCUGGUAGUCCACGCCGUAAACGAUGCUAACUCGUUUUUGGGGCGCAAGCCUCAGAGACCAAGCGAAAGUGAUAAGUUAGCCACCUGGGGAGUACGUUCGCAAGAAUGAAACUCAAAGGAAUUGACGGGGGCCCGCACAAGCGGUGGAUUAUGUGGUUUAAUUCGAUGAUACGCGAGGAACCUUACCAAGGCUUAAAUGGGAAAUGACAGGCUUAGAAAUAGGCUCUUCUUCGGACAUUUUUCAAGGUGCUGCAUGGUUGUCGUCAGCUCGUGCCGUGAGGUGUUAGGUUAAGUCCUGCAACGAGCGCAACCCCUGUCACUAGUUGCUAACAUUAAGUUGAGGACUCUAGUGAGACUGCCUACGCAAGUAG